This 282-nucleotide RNase P RNA is filed under the name Lachnospiraceae bacterium. RNAcentral describes it as "RNase P RNA component class A". It matches the Rfam family "Bacterial RNase P class A", at positions 63 to 367 of the family's 367-position model. Rfam says of the family: Ribonuclease P (RNase P) is a ubiquitous endoribonuclease, found in archaea, bacteria and eukarya as well as chloroplasts and mitochondria. The record is from RNAcentral. Lineage: Bacteria; Bacillati; Bacillota; Clostridia; Lachnospirales; Lachnospiraceae.
AGGGCAGGAUGCCGGAUAACGUCCGGUGGAGGCGACUCCAAGGCCAGUGCAACAGAAAUAAACCGCCAGGGUUCAUCCCGGGUAAGGGUGGAAAGGCAGUGUAAGAGACUACCGCCCGUCUGGUAACAGGCGGGGCACAUGUAAACCCCAUCCGAAGCAAGACCAAGCAGAAGCGUAUGGUGGCCCGCCAGCUUCAGGUAGGUCGCUGGAGCGUGCUGGCAACAACACGCCAAGAUAGAUGAUUGUCCACGACAUAACCCGGCUUAUCGGCUUGCUUAUUGC